This 417-nucleotide ribosomal RNA is filed under the name uncultured eukaryote. RNAcentral's name for it is "bacterial SSU rRNA". It matches the Rfam family "Eukaryotic small subunit ribosomal RNA", at positions 592 to 1013 of the family's 1831-position model. The record is from RNAcentral.
CAAUAGCGUAUAUUAAAGUUGUUGCGGUUAAAAAGCUCGUAGUUGGAUUUCUGUUGAGGUCGGCCGGUCCCUACUUCGUAGGCGUAUCUGGUUCAGCCUUGGCAUCCUCCUAGGGAACGGUACUGCUCUUAACUGAGUGGUCCGGUAUCUAGGACUUUUACUUUGAGGAAAUUAGAGUGUUUACGGCAGGCAAUCGCCUUGAAUAUGUUAGCAUGGAAUAAUAAUAUAGGACCUUGGUUCUAUUUUGUGGUUUCUAGGACUAAGGUAAUGAUUAAGAGGGACAAUUGGGGGCAUCCGUAUUUUCGUUGUCAGAGGUGAAAUUCUUGGAUUUACGAAAGACGAACAACUGCGAAAGCACUUGCCAAGAGUGUUUUUCAUUAAUCAAGACGAAAGUUAGAGGAUCGAAGACGAUCAGAU